Molecule: transfer RNA, 60 nt
Filed under: Eutreptiella gymnastica
Lineage: Eukaryota; Euglenozoa; Euglenophyceae; Eutreptiales; Eutreptiaceae
Rfam family: tRNA
About the family: Transfer RNA (tRNA) molecules are approximately 80 nucleotides in length.
Source: RNAcentral
CGGUGGUGUAGAGGUAUCAUGCAUCCCUGCCACGGAUGCGACCCGGGUUCGAUUCCCGGA